GGGCGAAAGCCUGAUCCAGCAAUGCCGCGUGCAGGAUGAAGGCCUUCGGGUUGUAAACUGCUUUUGUACGGAACGAAACGGCUCACCCUAAUACGGUGGGCUAAUGACGGUACCGUAAGAAUAAGCACCGGCUAACUACGUGCCAGCAGCCGCGGUAAUACGUAGGGUGCGAGCGUUAAUCGGAAUUACUGGGCGUAAAGCGUGCGCAGGCGGUUAUGUAAGACAGAUGUGAAAUCCCCGGGCUCAACCUGGGACCUGCAUUUGUGACUGCAUAGCUAGAGUACGGUAGAGGGGGAUGGAAUUCCGCGUGUAGCAGUGAAAUGCGUAGAUAUGCGGAGGAACACCGAUGGCGAAGGCAAUCCCCUGGACCUGUACUGACGCUCAUGCACGAAAGCGUGGGGAGCAAACAGGAUUAGAUACCCUGGUAGUCCACGCCCUAAACGAUGUCAACUGGUUGUUGGGUCUUCACUGACUCAGUAACGAAGCUAACGCGU
RNAcentral lists this ribosomal RNA (494 nucleotides) under uncultured Comamonadaceae bacterium. Its description in RNAcentral is "bacterial SSU rRNA". It matches the Rfam family "Bacterial small subunit ribosomal RNA", at positions 373 to 860 of the family's 1533-position model. Lineage: Bacteria; Pseudomonadati; Pseudomonadota; Betaproteobacteria; Burkholderiales; Comamonadaceae. The record is from RNAcentral.